CAGUAGCCACGGGAAUACGUAGGUGGCAAGCGUUGUCCGGAAUUAUUGGGCGUAAAGGGCUCGCAGGCGGUUUCUUAAGUCUGAUGUGAAAGCCCCCGGCUCAACCGGGGAGGGUCAUUGGAAACUGGGAAACUUGAGUGCAGAAGAGGAGAGUGGAAUUCCACGUGUAGCGGUGAAAUGCGUAGAGAUAUGGAGGAACACCAGUGGCGAAGGCGACUCUCUGGUCUGUAACUGACGCUGAGGAGCGAAAGCGUGGGGAGCGAACAGGAUUAGAUACCCGCGUAGUCCCUGUCUCUUAUAA
Molecule: ribosomal RNA, 301 nt
Filed under: uncultured bacterium
Lineage: Bacteria
Description: partial 16S ribosomal RNA
Rfam family: Bacterial small subunit ribosomal RNA
Source: RNAcentral